RNAcentral lists this ribosomal RNA (165 nucleotides) under uncultured bacterium. RNAcentral describes it as "partial 16S ribosomal RNA". It matches the Rfam family "Bacterial small subunit ribosomal RNA", at positions 355 to 511 of the family's 1533-position model. The record is from RNAcentral.
UAGGGAAUCUUCCACAAUGGGCGAAAGACCUGAUGGAGCAACGCCGCGUGUGUGAUGAAGGGUUUCGGCUCGUAAACACUGUUGUAAGAGAAGAAUGACAUUGAGAGUAACUGUUCAAUGUGUGACCGGUAUCUUACCAGAAAGGAACGGCUAAAUACGUGCCAG